GCCUGGUUGGCUCAGUUGGAAGAGCAUGUGACUCUUGAUCUUGGGGUUGUGAGUUUGAGCCCUACAUUGGGUG
RNAcentral lists this transfer RNA (73 nucleotides) under Ursus americanus (American black bear). It matches the Rfam family "tRNA". From Rfam's summary of the family: Transfer RNA (tRNA) molecules are approximately 80 nucleotides in length. Their secondary structure includes four short double-helical elements and three loops (D, anti-codon, and T loops). Lineage: Eukaryota; Metazoa; Chordata; Mammalia; Carnivora; Ursidae. RNAcentral also lists the same sequence under 1 other name. The record is from Rfam by way of RNAcentral.